This 517-nucleotide ribosomal RNA is filed under the name Alternaria sp. CSE44. RNAcentral's name for it is "eukaryotic LSU rRNA". The stretch from base 152 to 305 matches the Rfam family "5.8S ribosomal RNA". Lineage: Eukaryota; Fungi; Ascomycota; Dothideomycetes; Pleosporales; Pleosporaceae. The record is from RNAcentral.
CGGGCUGGAACCUCUCGGGGUUACAGCCUUGCUGAAUUAUUCACCCUUGUCUUUUGCGUACUUCUUGUUUCCUUGGUGGGUUCGCCCACCACUAGGACAAACAUAAACCUUUUGUAAUUGCAAUCAGCGUCAGUAACAAAUUAAUAAUUACAACUUUCAACAACGGAUCUCUUGGUUCUGGCAUCGAUGAAGAACGCAGCGAAAUGCGAUAAGUAGUGUGAAUUGCAGAAUUCAGUGAAUCAUCGAAUCUUUGAACGCACAUUGCGCCCUUUGGUAUUCCAAAGGGCAUGCCUGUUCGAGCGUCAUUUGUACCCUCAAGCUUUGCUUGGUGUUGGGCGUCUUGUCUCUAGCUUUGCUGGAGACUCGCCUUAAAGUAAUUGGCAGCCGGCCUACUGGUUUCGGAGCGCAGCACAAGUCGCACUCUCUAUCAGCAAAGGUCUAGCAUCCAUUAAGCCUUUUUUUCAACUUUUGACCUCGGAUCAGGUAGGGAUACCCGCUGAACUUAAGCAUAUCAAUA